Molecule: ribosomal RNA, 694 nt
Filed under: uncultured Staphylococcus sp.
Lineage: Bacteria; Bacillati; Bacillota; Bacilli; Caryophanales; Staphylococcaceae
Description: bacterial SSU rRNA
Rfam family: Bacterial small subunit ribosomal RNA
Source: RNAcentral
UCGAGCGAACGGACGAGAAGCUUGCUUCUCUGAUGUUAGCGGCGGACGGGUGAGUAACACGUGGAUAACCUACCUAUAAGACUGGGAUAACUUCGGGAAACCGGAGCUAAUACCGGAUAAUAUUUUGAACCGCAUGGUUCAAAAGUGAAAGACGGUCUUGCCGUCACUUAUAGAUGGAUCCGCGCUGCAUUAGCUAGUUGGUAAGGUAACGGCUUACCAAGGCAACGAUGCAUAGCCGACCUGAGAGGGUGAUCGGCCACACUGGAACUGAGACACGGUCCAGACUCCUACGGGAGGCAGCAGUAGGGAAUCUUCCGCAAUGGGCGAAAGCCUGACGGAGCAACGCCGCGUGAGUGAUGAAGGUCUUCGGAUCGUAAAACUCUGUUAUUAGGGAAGAACAUAUGUGUAAGUAACUGUGCACAUCUUGACGGUACCUAAUCAGAAAGCCACGGCUAACUACGUGCCAGCAGCCGCGGUAAUACGUAGGUGGCAAGCGUUAUCCGGAAUUAUUGGGCGUAAAGCGCGCGUAGGCGGUUUUUUAAGUCUGAUGUGAAAGCCCACGGCUCAACCGUGGAGGGUCAUUGGAAACUGGAAAACUUGAGUGCAGAAGAGGAAAGUGGAAUUCCAUGUGUAGCGGUGAAAUGCGCAGAGAUAUGGAGGAACACCAGUGGCGAAGGCGACUUUCUGGUCUGUA